Long non-coding RNA from Oreochromis aureus, 605 nucleotides. Lineage: Eukaryota; Metazoa; Chordata; Actinopteri; Cichliformes; Cichlidae. The record is from Ensembl.
UUCCGGCAUGGAAGAGAAAUUGUCCAAGCCAUGUCUCCGAAGUCACGAAGAGGCGACGGAUGGCCUGGAUUGCCGCUAUCAGAAGACCUAAUAUAACGUUCGAAAACACUCCACCUCACAUGUUAGUCUGCUCCAAGCAUUUCCACAAAGAGUUUUUGCUGACAGGUGUGAGAGGAGACGGCCCAGAGUCAAAAACAUUAGAUAUUAAGUACGUUUUGAUCGGAGGUGGGAUCGGCCUGUUGUUAGUUGCUGUAUUCAUUAUAACAAAGAUCUGCAUUAUUAGGAAGCAAAUGUCAACAUGAGAAGAUUUUCAGAGCCUCAGUUGCACUCUUUGAGCCAUCUCAGCCAAUCAGAACGCUCCGAUGCAGCGGUGUCCAGAGGCGUGUGAUGACAGAGGUCUGGCACAGUGACGAGCCUGAUGCUGUAACCCUGCAAAAAGUGAAACAUCAACCUGGUGGCCUUUUUUUGUUCUUUUGUUUUUUUUGUUUUUCAGUGUUGGAAUUGUUGCAGAAUUUCAACAUUGAGUUUUACCUCUUUUACUUUCUCUGUAACAUUUGUUAUAAUUGUGUUCAUAAAAAAAUAUCUAAAGAAGACUUGCUUUGUGC